UUCGCAUGGAAGUGCUAUGAAACACGGAGCAAUCUGUGGCCUUUGGAUGGGCCUGCGGCGCAUUAGCUAGUAGGUGAGGUAACGGCUCACCUAGGCGACGAUGCGUAGCCGACCUGAGAGGGUGAACGGCCACACUGGGACUGAGACACGGCCCAGACUCCUACGGGAGGCAGCAGUAGGGAAUCUUCCGCAAUGGACGCAAGUCUGACGGAGCAACGCCGCGUGAGUGAUGAAGGUUUUCGGAUCGUAAAGCUCUGUUGCCCUAGACGAACGAGUCGGAGAGUAACUGCUCUGGCUGUGACGGUAUAGGAGAAGAAAGCCCCGGCUAACUACGUGCCAGCAGCCGCGGUAAUACGUAGGGGGCAAGCGUUGUCCGGAAUUAUUGGGCGUAAAGCGCGCGCAGGCGGUUCAGUAAGUUGGAUGUUUAAUGCCGGGGCUCAACCUCGGCACGCAUCCAAAACUGGUGGACUUGAGUGUAGGAGAGGAAAGUGGAAUUCCACGUGUAGCGGUGAAAUGCGUAGAGAUGUGGAGGAACACCAGUGGCGAAGGCGACUUUCUGGCCUAUAACUGACGCUGAGGCGCGAAAGCGUGGGGAGCAAACAGGAUUAGAUACCCUGGUAGUCCACGCCGUAAACGAUGAGUGCUAGGUGUUAGGGGUUUCGAUGCCCUNGGUGCCGAAGUUAACACAGUAAGCACUCCGCCUGGGGAGUACGCUCGCAAGAGUGAAACUCAANGGAAUUGACGGGGACCCGCACAAGCAGUGGAGUAUGUGGUUUAAUUCGAAGCAACGCGAAGAACCUUACCAGGUCUUGACAUCCCCCUGAAUCUGUUAGAGAUAGCAGCGGCCUUCGGGACAGGGGAGACAGGUGGUGCAUGGUUGUCGUCAGCUCGUGUCGUGAGAUGUUGGGUUAAGUCCCGCAACGAGCGCAACCCUUGAUGUUAGUUGCCAGCAGGUUAAGCUGGGCACUCUAACGUGACUGCCGGUGACAAACCGGAGGAAGGUGGGGAUGACGUCAAAUCAUCAUGCCCCUUAUGACCUGGGCUACACACGUACUACAAUGGCCGGUACAACGGGAAGCGAAACCGCGAGGUGGAGCGAAUCCUUAGAAGCCGGUGUCAGUU
Molecule: ribosomal RNA, 1122 nt
Filed under: Paenibacillus sp.
Lineage: Bacteria; Bacillati; Bacillota; Bacilli; Caryophanales; Paenibacillaceae
Description: bacterial SSU rRNA
Rfam family: Bacterial small subunit ribosomal RNA
Source: RNAcentral